This 69-nucleotide transfer RNA is filed under the name Togoperla limbata. RNAcentral's name for it is "tRNA-Gln". The record is from RNAcentral. Lineage: Eukaryota; Metazoa; Arthropoda; Insecta; Plecoptera; Perlidae.
UAUAUCCAAGUGUUAGAUGCACGAGAGUUUUUGAUGCUUUAAGGAAUAGUUUAAGUCUAUUGGGUAUAA